This 939-nucleotide long non-coding RNA is filed under the name Olea europaea subsp. europaea. Lineage: Eukaryota; Viridiplantae; Streptophyta; Magnoliopsida; Lamiales; Oleaceae. The record is from RNAcentral.
CUGGGUAAAUAUUGGUAACAAUAUUGCUUUUAGUAAUGUCUGAUAACUCAAAGCUUAUAUUUAUAAUUGUAGCCUAUUAAUUUAUUUCCCCAUAUUUGAACAAAAUAAAAGCGUGUUCAGAGAUGAUUACCUCUCCGGACCAACACUCCCUCAAAGAUGAUGGUGUUGCUAGAGUUGUUGGUCCAGAACGUUGCGGACGAUUAAGAGGUCUUGGUUUCAGUGCGACUCCUUCAAAAUUGAAUGCUUUGGUGCAUAAUUAUAACUUGCAAACUCAAGUCCAAGAAUUGAGAGAUGAAAUUAAAGAAUUCAAAGCUUUGUUUCAAAUGAAGAGUAAGAUUGUUGUACAAGAAGAUGACGUAAGUAAAAAAGGCUGAAUGUUAUUCUAAAUUACAUAUACUUUCUAUAUUCAAAAUAAUAAAUUGUACAAUUGCAUAUGAAUUUUAUAGCUUAGAGACAGAAGCUUGAAUGGUUCAGAUAACCUUCAAAAUAAGAAAUGCAAAUUGUUAUCUUGGUUUGGGAAAGCUGAUAUUGUUGCAAAAGGUGAAAUCGCAUCAACAAAUCCAAGUGAUUUAGUGCAUCAUGUACCACUUGGUAAUGAAUGUUUGAGAGCUUGGGUUAAUGAAGUGAUUGAUAACAUCAGUUUAUAUCGUCCUACACGUGAGCUUUUUCUUCUUGAAGAUGCAUUAGGAAGUACAAUAGCAUGGCCCAUUAGGUACAUCGAAGUGGAUUCGUUGUAAUCACAACAAAGGUAUGCUUGACUUCUUUUCUAUUUUAAUUCCAUUUACAUUUACAUUGAAUCUCAAUUGAAGACUAGGUUGCUUAAAAUCAAGAAGUUGAUGGGCGGUUGAUUCGAUAUGACACUUUUUGAGAAGUAUUGAGAUGAAUUUGUUUUGAAUGUUAUACAGAAAUGUACAGAGCUUUCCAUUUGAUAUGGUUUGG